CGGCCCCUCGUCGCACUCCGGAUGCAAUGCGCCGCCCCGCGCGCGCGCUAGUCCUGGCCUCCGGGCCUCGACACCCUUUUGUUAUCCUUGCCAUGCCUAUUCGAAUUCCGAGAGAUAUCACAACCAGUAGCGUUGGAUCCCUUGGCACGUCAUUCGAUGAAGACCGUUGCAAAAUGCGAUAAGUGGUGUGAUAUGCAAGUCCAAAACUUAUACGUGAACCAUCGAAUUGUUGAACGCACUGCAUCGAGCCUUACCCAGGAACGAUACGCCCCAUUGAGCGUCAUUACGUCUUCGCGACCUGUCCCCUUCUUGCGGGACUUGUCCGGGUUCGGGAUUCACGGCCCACGGCCGCGCUUCCUCAGAUGCAUGGACGCGCCGGAACGCCGGGUGACCUUGUCAUGAAUGUCGAGGCAGCCCAUGUGUCCCGGCGCAGGAUCCGCCGUCCGCCGACGGAUCGAGUGCGCUCGCCGCAACUUCUCCACAUGACCUCACGGGGGUGGGACGACCCGCUAGACUUAAGCAUAUUAAUCAGCGGAGGAAAAGAAACUAACAAGGAUUCCCCCAGUAACUGCGAGUGAAGAGGGAUGAGC
RNAcentral lists this ribosomal RNA (590 nucleotides) under uncultured Tulasnellaceae. RNAcentral describes it as "eukaryotic LSU rRNA". The stretch from base 122 to 283 matches the Rfam family "5.8S ribosomal RNA". The record is from RNAcentral. Lineage: Eukaryota; Fungi; Basidiomycota; Agaricomycetes; Cantharellales; Tulasnellaceae.